This 1550-nucleotide ribosomal RNA is filed under the name metagenome. RNAcentral's name for it is "bacterial SSU rRNA". It matches the Rfam family "Bacterial small subunit ribosomal RNA". The record is from RNAcentral.
AGAGUUUGAUUCUGGCUCAGAACGAACGCUGGCAGCGUGGAUUAGGCAUGCAAGUCGAACGAGAAUCUAUUGAUUCAAUCCUUCGGGAGAGAAUCGGUGGAGGACAGUGGCGGAAGGGUGAGUAACGCGUGGGCAAUCUGCCUUGAAGUUGGGGAUAACCUGGCGAAAGCCGGGCUAAUACCGGAUGUGGUCCCUUGGCGCAUGUCGAGGUGACUAAAGGUGGGGCUUCCGAUUCGUCGGAACCUGCCGCUUCUAGAGGAGCCCGCGUCCUAUCAGCUUGUUGGUGAGGUAACGGCUCACCAAGGCUUACGGGUAGCUGGUCUGAGAGGAUGGUCAGCCACACUGGGACUGAGACACUGCCCAGACUCCUACGGGAGGCUGCAGUCGAGGAUCACUCGCAAUGCGCGAAAGCGUGACGAUGCGACGCUGCGUGGAGGAUGACGGCCUUUGGGUUGUAAACUCCUGUCAUUCGGGAACAAUGGUCUCGUGGUGAAUAUCCACGGGGCGUGAUGGUACCGGAAGAGGAAGCCACGGCUAACUCUGUGCCAGCAGCCGCGGUAAUACAGAGGUGGCGAGCGUUGUUCGGAUUUACUGGGCGUAAAGGGUGUGUAGGUGGCUUCGUAAGUCGGAUGUGAAAUCUCACUGCUCAGCGGUGAAACGGCAUUCGAAACUGCGGGGCUAGAGUGCAGGAGGGGAAAGCGGAAUUCUUGGUGUAGCGGUGGAAUGCGUUGAUAUCAAGAAGAACACCAGUGGCGAAGGCGGCUUUCUGGAAUGCUACUGACACUGAAACACGAAAGUUGGGGGAGCAAACAGGAUUAGAUACCCUGGUAGUCCCAACCGUAAACGGUGUACACUUGGUGUGGGGGGAUUUGACCCCCCCCGUGCCGGAGCUAACGCGAUAAGUGUACCGCCUGGGGAGUACGGCCGCAAGGCUAAAACUCAAAGAAAUUGACGGGGGCCCGCACAAGCGGAGGAGCAUGUGGCUUAAUUCGAUGCAACGCGAAGAACCUUACCAGGGCUUGACAUGCAGCUGCACGCCCCGGGAAACCGGGGAAGCCUUCGAGGGUGCUGCACAGGUGCUGCAUGGCUGUCGUCAGUUCGUGCCGUGAGGUGUUGGGUUAAGUCCCGCAACGAACGCAACCCUUGUGUUUAGUUGCCACCGCAGGUGUUAAGCUUGCGAGCACUCUAAACAGACUGCCCGUGUAAGCGGGAGGAAGGUGGGGAUGACGUCAAGUCAGUAUGGCCUUUAUGUCCUGGGCUGCACACGUGCUACAAUGGUCGGUACAGAGGGAUGCAAGACCGCGAGGUGGAGCCAAUCCUGAAAGCCGAUCCCAGUUCGGAUUGGAGUCUGCAAUUCGACUCCAUGAAGUUGGAUUCGCUAGUAAUGGCGUAUCAGCUACGACGCCGUGAAUACGUUCCCGGGCCUUGUACACACCGCCCGUCACAUCAUGAAAGCUCUGUGCACCCGAAGUCGCCGAUCCUACUCGCUUUUAGUGAGAGGCAGGCGCCGAAGGUGUGUGGAGUGAUUGGGAUGAAGUCGUAACAAGGUA